GUUGAUGUUGGACGUUUCGUGGAACCCAG
Molecule: non-coding RNA, 29 nt
Filed under: Cricetulus griseus (Chinese hamster)
Lineage: Eukaryota; Metazoa; Chordata; Mammalia; Rodentia; Cricetidae
Source: RNAcentral